CCCUUAGAUGUUCUGGGCCGCACGCGCGCUACAAUGGCAGACUCAGCGAGUUACCUCUGUCGAAAGGCACAGGGAAUCUUUACAGUAUCUACCGUGAUGGGGAUAGACCCUUGUAAUUUUUGGUCUUCAACGAGGAAUUCCUAGUAAACGCAAGUCAUUAACUUGCAUUGAUUACGUCCCUGCCCUUUGUACACACCGCCCGUCGCACCUACCGAUUGAAUGGUCCGGUGAAGUCCUCGGACCCAGUUGAACCUCGAGUUGAACAGGGAAAGUUGACUAAAUCUUACCAUUUAGAGGAAGGUGAAGUCGUAACA
Molecule: ribosomal RNA, 314 nt
Filed under: uncultured eukaryote
Lineage: Eukaryota
Description: partial 18S ribosomal RNA
Rfam family: Eukaryotic small subunit ribosomal RNA
Source: RNAcentral